Molecule: ribosomal RNA, 499 nt
Filed under: uncultured bacterium
Lineage: Bacteria
Description: partial 16S ribosomal RNA
Rfam family: Bacterial small subunit ribosomal RNA
Source: RNAcentral
GAUGAACGCUGGCGGCGUGCCUAAUACAUGCAAGUCGAGCGAACAGACGAGAGUGCUUGCACUCUCUGACGUUAGCGGCGGACGGGUGAGUAACACGUGGGUAACCUACCUAUAAGACUGGGAUAACUUCGGGAAACCGGAGCUAAUACCGGAUAAUAUUUAGCUUCGCAUGAAGCAAUAGUGAAAGACGGUUCUGCUGUCACUUAUAGAUGGACCCGCGGUGUAUUAGCUAGUUGGUGAGGUAACGGCUCACCAAGGCAACGAUACAUAGCCGACCUGAGAGGGUGAUCGGCCACACUGGGACUGAGACACGGCCCAGACUCCUACGGGAGGCAGCAGUAGGGAAUCUUCCGCAAUGGACGAAAGUCUGACGGAGCAAUGCCGCGUGAGUGAAGAAGGUUUUCGGAUCGUAAAACUCUGUUGUAAGGGAAGAACAAGUACGUUAGUAACUGAACGUACCUUGACGGUACCUUACCAGAAAGCCAGGGCUAACUACGUG